UGGGCUGCGUCCGAAAUCGCAUACUUCCAUACUAUAUGGUAGGCGAAAAACAGUAUGUGAAGCAAGUAGUAUGUCCGAAUUCUUAGUAUUCGAAAAACAGUAGGCGAGAUGUACCCGGAUGGCCUACUACUUCCGCCCGAAUUCCGUAGCAUGCAUAGGAUGGACACUACUCUAUCCCAUGAGGCCACGGGAGAGGACUCGUCAUACUCAUAUUCGAAAAUAACGGAAAAUCGUGACGCAGCUGUUUUGAAGUGGAGUGAUGAACACACUCUUGUUCUCAUCCACUGAUGAAACCCUACUCACUGGAAAGCAUAAUUCAUGUAUCAUCGUCAUGAUCUUCCACAACUUCUGGAUCAACAAUGUCUCCAUUCAAAAGACGGAGGUUGUGGAGCACUGCACAGCAUGCAGCAACAUCUGGCACAAAGGCAGGACUCACUUCCAGGGCCUUGAAGAAGAAGAAGAUGGAGCACAGCUUGUCUUCAGCAUCCCGAAGGCUCUCUCAACAAUGUUCUGUGCACGAGCAUCAUUGGUGUUGAAUCAAAGCUGUGCAGGAUUCUGUUCAGACUCUCUGUAUGCUGUGAUGAGGCAGAUGUGUGCACUCAAACAAGGAUACCCACCAUCUCCCAGGAUGUGUUUUCCUGCAGUUGGAUACAGGCCUCCAGUAUAAAUA
Carassius carassius (crucian carp) is the source of this 670-nucleotide long non-coding RNA. RefSeq lists it as uncharacterized. NCBI's taxonomy places the organism in Eukaryota, Metazoa, Chordata, Actinopteri, Cypriniformes, Cyprinidae. The transcript is spliced from 3 exons. The record is from RefSeq and is a predicted model, not a curated record.